CGGGUGAGUAACACGUGGAUAACCUACCUAUAAGACUGGGAUAACUUCGGGAAACCGGAGCUAAUACCGGAUAAUAUUUUGAACCGCAUGGUUCAAAAGUGAAAGACGGUCUUGCUGUCACUUAUAGAUGGAUCCGCGCUGCAUUAGCUAGUUGGUAAGGUAACGGCUUACCAAGGCACGAUGCAUAGCCGACCUGAGAGGGUGAUCGGCCACACUGGAACUGAGACACGGUCCAGACUCCUACGGGAGGCAGCAGCC
This 258-nucleotide ribosomal RNA is filed under the name uncultured Staphylococcus sp. RNAcentral's name for it is "partial 16S ribosomal RNA". It matches the Rfam family "Bacterial small subunit ribosomal RNA", at positions 103 to 355 of the family's 1533-position model. The record is from RNAcentral. Lineage: Bacteria; Bacillati; Bacillota; Bacilli; Caryophanales; Staphylococcaceae.